RNAcentral lists this ribosomal RNA (456 nucleotides) under uncultured bacterium. RNAcentral describes it as "bacterial SSU rRNA". It matches the Rfam family "Bacterial small subunit ribosomal RNA", at positions 773 to 1220 of the family's 1533-position model. The record is from RNAcentral.
ACGUAAUAGAUACCCGGGUAGUCCACGCCCUAAACGAUGUCUACUAGUUGUUGGUGGAGUAAAAUCCAUGAGUAAACGCAGCUAAACGCGUGAAGUAGACCGCCGUGGGGAGUACGGUCGCAAGAUUAAAACUCAAAGGAAUUGGACGGGGGCCCGCACAAGCGGUGGAUUAUGUGGAUUAAUUCGAUGCAACGACGAAAAACCUUACCUGGCCUUGACAUGCCACUAACGAAGCAGAGAUGCAUUAGGUGCCCGUAAGGGAAAGUGGACACAGGUGCUGCAUGGCUGUCGUCAGCUCGUGUCGUGAGAUGUUGGGUUAAGUCCCGCAACGAGCGCAACCCUUGCCAUUAAUUGCCAUCAUUUAGUUGGGCACUUUAAUGGGACUGCCGGUGACAAACCCGGAGGAAGGUGGGGAUGACGUCGAGUCCUCAUGGCCCUUAUGGCCAGGGCUUCACA